This is a long non-coding RNA of Dromaius novaehollandiae (emu), 275 nucleotides long. RefSeq lists it as uncharacterized. The transcript has 3 exons. Lineage: Eukaryota; Metazoa; Chordata; Aves; Casuariiformes; Dromaiidae. The record is from RefSeq and is a predicted model, not a curated record.
GAAUGGGAAUGCCAGAGACCAACUCUAAUUGCUGUACGUACCACAGCCAGAAAAAUAUCUGAUUGAUAUGUCCAAACUGCCAUCCACAACCUCUUUCUCAAGAUGCUGAAUACUUACAGCUUUCAUAGAUUUCACAAGAAGAUGGAGGUGAACAGCACUUCUGAAAAAAAAUUAGGCCAUCUAUUUAGAUACCGUCCCUUGUGAAAAUCUGGAGGUGUGGAAGUGAUAAUGGAUUACUUAAAAUAUUUUAGUUUUCUUUGAAUAAAUUAAGCUUU